CUUCCUGUGGGGCCUUAGAGCUGGUUGCUGGCUGGCCCUCUUGAUCCUGAGCUCUCAGCAUUUUAUAGUCUGUCUCAGGCUUCCUUAUAUGGCUAUGGGAACCACACAAGGUAGAAAUGUCACAAGGUCUCUUAACGCCCAGCCUUGGAAGUCAUGCAGCACUGCUCCCUGCACAUCCUGCUGGCCACGGCAAGUCACAAGGACAGGGUCUCACAAUGUCCAGGCUGGCUUUGAACUCACUAUGUACCCCAGGCUGGCCUCCAACUUAUGGAGAUCCUCCUGCCUCGGCCUUCCCAGGGCUGGGAUUACAGAUACGCUUCUGGGUGUUGGGAGCCUACGUGUGUUAUCAGAGGAAGUGGAGCUUAUGUUAGCCCUGGUAGGCGGAUACGAUGAUGCCAACCUUCCUGUGGCAGGACCAGCGCUUUGCCAUCUGGAACAGGAAGACUUCUGAUGUCACUUCGUGGGACUUUCUAGCACGAAGUAACUGUGGCCGUCACAGACUUUUCAAGUACACCUGGAAUCUUCACAGACGCUGGCCAGUUUUUUCUUAACAAAACAAUUGUAAAGUCAAAGCUUAAACAAAAAAAUGUUUUCUGACACUCUGUACUUCAAGAGGAAAUCAGUAACAAAAAGAUUUUUAAACACUUUAAAAAUAACACAUGGGUAACGAAUGCACUGUGUGGGUGCUUCAGGAUAUGCUUAGAAGUAAAUGAUAAUUAAAAUUCCAUGUAUUAGAAAGUAUGAGAAGCUUCAAAGUGCUGAAAAUCAAUAAGCCAAACACACGGCACAGACAUCAGCAGAGAAGGGCUGAGUAAACUCGAAGAAUGAGGAGGAGGGCAUGUUAUUGAUAAACGCAGAAAUAAGUGAAAUAGAAAACAGCCAUCAGUAGGUGACUUAAGGUCAAAUUCUGCUUUUUAACAAGGUUAAAGCAGGGCGACAGGAUGUAUAAAUUGUAGCGGGAAAAAAACAGCACACUCAGGAGAGUGUGACUAGCUUUGUGUCCAGAACCCUGAAAGUGUAACUCAGAGGCAUGCGUUUUACAUUUCCAAGCAGCAACAUUUGGCUUCAGGAGAAACAGAAAAAUACCAACAACCUUCUAACCAUUUAAAAAAUUAAAUUGAUGCUCAAAGAUCAUCACAGCAAAGAAACAUCAGGACCAGACUUUAAAAAGAAAAGUCAGGGGCGUUUACCAAAUGAACACUUUCAGUCAAACACAAAUUCUUCCAGCGAGUAGAAAAAUAUCACCGUCUCCUAAU
Long non-coding RNA from Cavia porcellus (domestic guinea pig), 1256 nucleotides. RefSeq lists it as uncharacterized. The record is from RefSeq and is a predicted model, not a curated record. Lineage: Eukaryota; Metazoa; Chordata; Mammalia; Rodentia; Caviidae. The transcript has 4 exons.